RNAcentral lists this transfer RNA (64 nucleotides) under Brookesia superciliaris. RNAcentral describes it as "tRNA-Gly". Lineage: Eukaryota; Metazoa; Chordata; Lepidosauria; Squamata; Chamaeleonidae. The record is from RNAcentral.
ACUCUUUUAGUAUAAAAAAUACAAUUGACUUCCACUCAUUCAAUCUUGACCACAAGAAAGAGUA